UACGGAGGGGGCUAGCGUUGUCCGGAAUUAUUGGGCGUAAAGCGCGCGCAGGCGGCCUUUUAAGUCUGAUGUGAAAUCUUGCGGCUCAACCGCAAGCGGUCAUUGGAAACUGGGAGGCUUGAGUACAGAAGAGGAGAGUGGAAUUCCACGUGUAGCGGUGAAAUGCGUAGAUAUGUGGAGGAACACCAGUGGCGAAGGCGACUCUCUGGUCUGUAACUGACGCUGAGGCGCGAAAGCGUGGGGAGCAAACAGG
Molecule: ribosomal RNA, 253 nt
Filed under: uncultured bacterium
Lineage: Bacteria
Description: partial 16S ribosomal RNA
Rfam family: Bacterial small subunit ribosomal RNA
Source: RNAcentral